GACGAACGCUGGCGGCGUGCCUAAUACAUGCAAGUAGAACGCUGAAGGAGGAGCUUGCUUCUCUGGAUGAGUUGCGAACGGGUGAGUAACGCGUAGGUAACCUGCCUGGUAGCGGGGGAUAACUAUUGGAAACGAUAGCUAAUACCGCAUAAGAGUAGAUGUUGCAUGACAUUUGCUUAAAAGGUGCAAUUGCAUCACUACCAGAUGGACCUGCGUUGUAUUAGCUAGUUGGUGGGGUAACGGCUCACCAAGGCGACGAUACAUAGCCGACCUGAGAGGGGGAUCGGCCACACUGGGACUGGAGCCAGGCCCAGACUCCUACGGGGGGCAGCAGUAGGGAAUCUUUGGCAAUGGACGGAAGUCUGACCGAGGAAAGCCGCGUGAGGGGAGGAGGGUCUCGGAUCUUAAAGCUCUGUUGUAAGGGAAGAACGAGUGUGAGAGUGGAAAGUUCACACUGUGACGGUAUCUUACCAGAAAGGGACGGCUAACUACGUG
This 495-nucleotide ribosomal RNA is filed under the name uncultured bacterium. RNAcentral describes it as "partial 16S ribosomal RNA". It matches the Rfam family "Bacterial small subunit ribosomal RNA", at positions 28 to 507 of the family's 1533-position model. The record is from RNAcentral.